AUGGCUGGGACAAGUCAUAAGUCAAAACAGGAUGGACCUGCUGGAUCAAGCCAUGACGACCUUGCAUCUCAUGGGGAUGAAGAGCAUCAAACACAACCACGGAGCAGUGCACCAAUAACUGGGUGCAAGCGUAUGAGAACUAAAGCAGCAGCUGUAAGGGGGAAGCGCCCUGACGAUAUCAUUAGUAAUGACAAUAGCAACGAGAGCCAAGCUGCAGAUGCUGGGAAUAAAAAUGUCGAAUGUGCAGACGUCGAGCAACCUCCAAAAGCAAAACGCCAGAAAACGGGAGGAACUGAGGGUCGUAGGAACAGGGCAUCUCCUGCAAGGCUAUUCAAGUUGAACAAGGACUUAGUUCCUGACCAAAAGGGUGUCAUCAUCGGAAAAGAAUUUGGCGGCAUUCUGGACCUUGCAGCGAGUAGCAUGCCCGGAGAUUUUAGCCAGUGGAUAAUGAAGCAUUACGACCCGGAGAUUUCACAGAUAGUCAUUCCAGAAAGGGGGAAGAUUCCUGUAGAUGCCGCUAGUGUCCGUAGGAUAUGGGGUUUGCCCAACAGGGGCAGGAAGCUGUUGUACCUAGACUCUUUGGAUGUUGAUGAGCCAAUCCCGAACUUGGUACCAAGGGUUUCUGUCUGGAAUUCAGAUUUAAUCUCCAAAGUUAUCAAGAAGGAUAGGAAGGCUCCAGGAGAAUAUGGCCAAUUGCGGGGGAAAUCAAGUAGCCAGGGAGCACCGGCCCUCACGGUUGACACGUGGACGAAAGACGGAAUUGAGGGGAACAAGGACAAUGAUGAUGAUGAAGAAGAAGAGGAUGACAAAAAAGAAGAUGAUGAAGGAAAGGAGGACGAUGACGAUGAAGAAGGCGAUGGGGAUGGCAAAGACAAGGAAGACGAUGGGCAAGGGAAGCAGGAUGAAGAUGAUGAAGAUGACAGCGGAGGUGGCAACGGUGGUUCAGGCAGCAAUGGUGGCUCCGAUCGGGACGAGGAUCCCGCAGAUGAGGAGACAGGCAACAAUGAUGAUGAACAAUGCACGCUGCAAUUUCUGAUUGAAAAGAAGAAGGACAGAAAGGCAAAAGGAUUGGAUGAGGCAGAUAGCAUCUCCAAUGGUAUCCAGAGGGCCAAGGUGCAAGACUUCAAGGCAUCACCCGAGGCUCGAUCAUUAAAUCAUGCAGGACACAAAAAGGAGAAAGAGAACAUUCCUCCGGUCCUAUGUACGGAGAUCAAUAGGAUACAACACCCGCCCGAAGGUGUAACCAAUGGAAAAAGUCCGGAACAAAAGUUACUAAGAGCCCUAGGGAAAUUGCCUGUCUGCCAAACUGUACUUGCCCAACCUGAGGCCACUAGUGUUCUAGAAGCAGUAACCAUGGGAAAAAGCCCGGAACAAAAGUUGCCACGAGCCCUAGGGAAAUUGCCUGUCUGCUCAACUGUACUUGCCCAACCUGAGGCCACUAGUGUUCCAGAAGCAGUAGAAGCAACUGGCCAAGGGAACACUUACCAUUUCUCUAAUGUGGAGGAGCAGUACCACGAAUUCAUGCGUGUUAAUGAGAAGGCAACCAAUGCACUAGAAAUCAAUGUUCUAGCUGUGAGUGAGCUGUUUGCAAGCCCAAGGGUAAUUAAAUAUGGCAAGUACUUUGUCACUGUCAGGGAGCUCGCAAACUCAAUGAAGAAGGGGGGUUUUGUCGUGAGCCAUGUAAUGGAAGUUGGUAUAGAGAGUAUAAUGAUGAACUUGCCACCAGACUCAAAGAAGCUUGUGAUGCCCGUCAGGUUCUCGGUUCAGAUGCAAAACAUGGAAUUGAACGGCAACGAGCUCAUUUCCCGGUUCAAGAAGUCGAAUCGCUUGGACCGUAAAGACAUGAUUAUGUUCCCAGUUUUAGAGAACAUUGACAAGACAAAGCCUAAAACAGGCAAUCAUUACUGGAUUUUUAACGUGAACAUAAGGGAUUGA
RNAcentral lists this ribosomal RNA (1935 nucleotides) under Triticum aestivum (bread wheat). Its description in RNAcentral is "partial small subunit ribosomal RNA". Lineage: Eukaryota; Viridiplantae; Streptophyta; Magnoliopsida; Poales; Poaceae. The record is from RNAcentral.